This 292-nucleotide ribosomal RNA is filed under the name uncultured bacterium. RNAcentral describes it as "partial 16S ribosomal RNA". It matches the Rfam family "Bacterial small subunit ribosomal RNA", at positions 505 to 796 of the family's 1533-position model. The record is from RNAcentral.
GUGUCAGCCGCCGCGGUAAAACGUAGGGGGCGAGCGUUAUCCGGAUUUACUGGGCGUAAAGCGCACGCAGGCGGCUGAUCAAGUUGGACGUGAAAGCUCCCGGCUUAACUGGGAGAGGUCGUACAAAACUGAUCGGCUCGAGGCUGAGAGAGGAGAGCAGAAUUCCCGGUGUAGUGGUGGAAUGCGUAGAUAUCGGGAGGAAUACCAGUGGCGAAGGCGGCUCUCUGGCUCAGAACUGACGCUGAGGUGCGAAAGCGUGGGGAGCGAACGGGAUUAGAAACCCGAGUAGUCC